AGAGUUUGAUCAUGGCUCAGGACGAACGCUGGCGGCGCGCCUAACACAUGCAAGUCGAACGGGGUAUAUAGUUAAGUAAUUGAUUGUAUACCUAGUGGCGGACGGGUGAGUAACGCGUGAGCAACCUGCCUCUAACAGGGGGAUAACGUACCGAAAGGUACACUAAUACCGCAUAAAAUGUAGUUACGCAUGUAACUGUAUAGAAAGGGAUACCGGUUAGAGAUGGGCUCGCGUCCGAUUAGAUAGUUGGUAGGGUAAUAGCCUACCAAGUCAACGAUCGGUAGCCGACCUGAGAGGGUGAUCGGCCACAUUGGAACUGAGAACGGUCCAAACUCCUACGGGAGGCAGCAGUGGGGAAUCUUGGGCAAUGGGGGGAACCCUGACCCAGCGACGCCGCGUGAGGGAAGAAGGUUUUCGGAUUGUAAACCUCUGUUCUUGGUGAAGAGUAUAAGACGGUAGCCAAGGAGGAAGCCCCGGCUAACUACGUGCCAGCAGCCGCGGUAAUACGUAGGGGGCGAGCGUUGUCCGGAAUGAUUGGGCGUAAAGGGCGCGUAGGCGGCGACAUAAGUCUGAAGUGAAAGUCCCAAAUUCAAGUUAGGAAUUGCUUUGGAAACUAUAUUGCUUGAGUGCAGGAGAGGUCAUCGGAGUUCCCGGUGUAGCGGUGAAAUGCGUAGAGAUCGGGAGGAACACCAGUGGCGAAGGCGGGUGGCUGGACUGUAACUGACGCUGAUGCGCGAAAGUGUGGGGAGCAAACAGGAUUAGAUACCCUGGUAGUCCACACCGUAAACGAUGAAUGCUAGGUGUAGGUGGUAUCGACCCCAUCUGUGCCGUCGCAAACGCAAUAAGCAUUCCGCCUGGGGAGUACGGUCGCAAGAUUAAAACUCAAAUGAAUUGACGG
RNAcentral lists this ribosomal RNA (898 nucleotides) under uncultured bacterium. RNAcentral describes it as "bacterial SSU rRNA". It matches the Rfam family "Bacterial small subunit ribosomal RNA", at positions 8 to 916 of the family's 1533-position model. The record is from RNAcentral.